UUUUUAUUUAAUUUUAAUUGAUAUAUUUUUCUUGAAUUUGCUUGUCAUUUGUAUGAAAUAUUUGCAACCUCACAUUUUCCCCCAAAUGUGACCCUAUGCUCAGCCAAACUUAUUCAACUAAAUAUUUAUAAGUAUGUAUUAUGUGUCAGGCAUUAUGAUAUACAUUGGGAACACAUUAAUGAAACUGAUUUGUAGUUCUCUCAGCAUGACACUUUUGCUUGUUCUAGGCCUUUGCACUUGCUAUUGUUGCUACCUGGAAUGUUCUUUCUUCUCUGGAUAACUCCUACUUGCUGUUGGGUCUCAGCUUAAAUGUAUGUAGUUAGAAAUUCAGUGUAUGUUUGUUCUCUAUGUCUGCCCAUCCUUUUCAUGUCAUACAUAUUACCACUUUGAGUUAGAAUUUCACAUUUACGCUUGUCUCUUCCACUAGAUUGAAAGCUCCUUGAGAACAAUAUUUUAUGCUUAUAUUUGCAUUUACACUAUCUAAAAAUGUUGGAUACAUAGUAAUAAACUAAUGAACAGAUAUAUUUUAAUGUUGAAUGAAUUACUACUCAUGCAAUUUGUUCAUUUAAACUACUAAUGUCUUUGCCUGUAUGUGUGUGUGCUUCUAAGUUCAUUUUCCCUUCUACUUAAUUUUUGGGGAAGUAUUAAUUUUAUAUAUAUGGGUGGAAUCUAUCAGUAUAUCUCUUUUUGAUUUGCUUAACAAAUUUUAAUUAUAAAUUCAACAUAUGUUUUUGUUAAAAAAUUCAAUUGGCACAGAAAAACCCAAAGUACAAUGCGGACAUUCUCUCACCCUCCCUCCAUAUGAUCAUUAUGAAGCUCGUUGUGAAUUUUUCCAAAUAUUUUCUGCAUAUAUACAAAAAUGUUAUAUGUGUUCCUUGUUUCUUUAAAUAAAUGAGAUAGGGCAGCCCAGGGGGCUCAGCGGUUUAGUGCCGCCUUCAGCCCAGGGCAUGAUCUUGGAGACCCGGGAUUGAGUCCCAUGUCAGGCUCCCUGCAUGGGGCCGGCUUCUCGCUCUGCCUGUGUCUCUGCCUCUGUCUCUCUCUGUGUCUCUCAUGAAUAAAUAAAUAAAUAAUUUUUAAAAAUAAGAUAGUACAAUGAAUAUAGUGUUCUGAAACUUGCUUUUUGUUCCUUAAUCUUACUCAUGUAUAUUUAGGAAUUCUAUGUUUUGGUCAUGGUAACACAUUUGUACUCAUUAUUUAAAAUAAUUGAAUACUAUUGUAAUAAACCUACCACAAUUUAUCUGGUUAUCCAUCAGACAUUUACCAGGUAUACAUUUUUUCUCAUUAACGCAUGUUACUACAAAAAGAAUUACCCUUUCCUUACCUAUAUUAAUUUAUUAUUCUAUUUUUAUCUUAUCAAAAAACCAUAACUCUGUUAUGGAUUUAAGAUAGUCCUAUUUUUGCCUAAUAUCCUAGCGACUGUCAGCAUCUUCAAAGACUAUUAUGUCUUCUCUCCUCCGCAUCUUUAAUUUUUCCCUCUCUAUUGGAUCAUUCCCAUGAACACAAAAAACAUGCUACAAUAAUUCCUUUCUUGAGAAAAAAAAGAUAUAAAAUCUCCACCACCCCUGGUUGCUCCUUUUUAUUGCGAAUAUACUCAACUACAGUUGUUUAUGGUCAUUUUCUAACUCUCAUUCUCUCUUAACCUACUGUGAUAAGAUGCUCUUUCAUACCACUGCACUAACCCUACAUUGGUCAAAGCCACCACCCAUCACCUCUAUAUUAUCAAAUCUAAUUUGCUGUAAGCAUUUACUGAAUAAAUUUAAAAAUAUUAUUUUUUGCUAUAAACAUUGAGGUGCAUGUGUCCCUCUGAAUCAGUGUUUUUGUAUCCUUUGGGUGAAUACGUAGGUGCAAUUGCUGGGUCAUAGGAUAAUUCUAUUUUUAACUUUUUUGAAGAACUUCCAUACUGUUUUCCAAAGUUGCUGCACCAGUUUGCACACCCACCAACAGUUCAAAAGUGUUCCCCAUUCUCUGUAUCCAGCCAAUACCCGUUGUUUUCUGUGUUGUUAAUUUUAGCCAUUCUGAUAGGUAUAAGGUGAUAUCUCAUUGUACUUUUGUGUUUCCCUGAUGAUGAGUGAUAUUGAGUAUCUCUUUACGUGUCUGUUAGCCAUCUGUGUAUCUUCUUCAGAAAAAUGUCUAUUUAUGUCUUCUGCCCAUUUCUUAACUGGAUUAUUUGUUUUGGGGGUGUUGAGUUUGAUAAGUUCUUUAUAGAUUUUGGAUACUGUUUAUCAGAUAUGUCAUUUGCAAAUAUCUUCUCUCAUUCCAAAGGUUGCUUUUUAGUUAUUGAUUGUUUCCUUUUCUGUGCAGAAGCUUUUUAUUUUGAAAUCCCAAUAGUUCAUUUGCUUUUGUUUCCUUGCCUUUGAAGAUAUGUCUAGUAAGAAGUUGCUAAGGCUGAUGUCAAAGAGGUUGCUGUCUGUGUUCUCCCCCAGGAUUCUGAUGAUUUCCUGUCUCACAUUUAGGUCUUUCAUCCAUUUUGAAUUCACUUUUGUAUGUGGUGUAAGAAAGCGGUCCAGUUUCAUUCUUUUGCAUGUUGCUGUCCAGUUUUCCCAACAUCAUUUGAAAAGACUUUUUUCCAUUGGAUAUUCUUUCCUGUUUUGUCGAAGAUUAAUUGACCAUCUAAUUGUGGGUUUACUUUUAGAUUUUAUAUUCUAUUAUACUAACUUUUUAUUCUUUCAGAGUACCUUUAGAAACAUUUUGUCAACAUGGAAACUAUUCAUUGGAAUUCUCAUCGAUUUGGGAAUGACUGAUGUCUUACAGCUAUUUACUCUUCCUAGUAUAAGCAUUGUUUUUUUAAUUAAAAACCAUUUAGGUAAAGGGGCACCUGGACGGCUCAGUCAGUUGAGCAUCUGCCUUUGGCUCAGGUCAUGAUCUUGGGGUUCUGGAACUGAGCCCCACAUUGGGC
Molecule: long non-coding RNA, 2896 nt
Filed under: Canis lupus familiaris (dog)
Lineage: Eukaryota; Metazoa; Chordata; Mammalia; Carnivora; Canidae
Description: lncRNA (ENSCAFG00000057839.1, ENSCAFG00805031097.1, ENSCAFG00845005876.1)
Source: RNAcentral